This 745-nucleotide ribosomal RNA is filed under the name uncultured bacterium. Its description in RNAcentral is "bacterial SSU rRNA". It matches the Rfam family "Bacterial small subunit ribosomal RNA", at positions 33 to 773 of the family's 1533-position model. The record is from RNAcentral.
ACGCUGGCGGCAGGCCUAACACAUGCAAGUCGAGCGGUAGAGAGAAGCUUGCUUCUCUUGAGAGCGGCGGACGGGUGAGUAAUGCCUAGGAAUCUGCCUGGUAGUGGGGGAUAACGUUCGGAAACGGACGCUAAUACCGCAUACGUCCUACGGGAGAAAGCAGGGGACCUUCGGGCCUUGCGCUAUCAGAUGAGCCUAGGUCGGAUUAGCUAGUUGGUGGGGUAAUGGCUCACCAAGGCGACGAUCCGUAACUGGUCUGAGAGGAUGAUCAGUCACACUGGAACUGAGACACGGUCCAGACUCCUACGGGAGGCAGCAGUGGGGAAUAUUGGACAAUGGGCGAAAGCCUGAUCCAGCCAUGCCGCGUGUGUGAAGAAGGUCUUCGGAUUGUAAAGCACUUUAAGUUGGGAGGAAGGGUUGUAGAUUAAUACUCUGCAAUUUUGACGUUACCGACAGAAUAAGCACCGGCUAACUCUGUGCCAGCAGCCGCGGUAAUACAGAGGGUGCAAGCGUUAAUCGGAAUUACUGGGCGUAAAGCGCGCGUAGGUGGUUAGUUAAGUUGGAUGUGAAAUCCCCGGGCUCAACCUGGGAACUGCAUUCAAAACUGACUGACUAGAGUAUGGUAGAGGGUGGUGGAAUUUCCUGUGUAGCGGUGAAAAGCGUAGAUAUAGGAAGGAACACCAGUGGCGAAGGCGACCACCUGGACUGAUACUGACACUGAGGUGCGAAAGCGUGGGGAGCAAAC